Small nuclear RNA from Pongo abelii (Sumatran orangutan), 97 nucleotides. Its record names the gene U2. It matches the Rfam family "U2 spliceosomal RNA". From Rfam's summary of the family: U2 is a small nuclear RNA (snRNA) component of the spliceosome (involved in pre-mRNA splicing). Complementary binding between U2 snRNA (in an area lying towards the 5' end but 3' to hairpin I) and the branchpoint sequence (BPS) of the intron results the bulging out of an unpaired adenosine, on the BPS, which initiates a nucleophilic attack at the intronic 5' splice site, thus starting the first of two transesterification reactions that mediate splicing. NCBI's taxonomy places the organism in Eukaryota, Metazoa, Chordata, Mammalia, Primates, Hominidae. The record is from Ensembl.
UCAUAUCCUUUGUCUUUUGGCUAAGAUCAAGUGUAGUAUCUGUUCUUAUCAGUUUAGUAUACUGAAUUCUUAGAAUUAAAUAAGCUAGAGAAAAUAA